Non-coding RNA from Podarcis lilfordi (Lilford's wall lizard), 70 nucleotides. The record is from the annotation of a GenBank genome assembly. NCBI's taxonomy places the organism in Eukaryota, Metazoa, Chordata, Lepidosauria, Squamata, Lacertidae.
GAUAGCUCAGUUAGUUAGAGCAUGGCGGCGAUUAACGCCAAGGUUGCAGGUUCGAUCCCCGUAUGGGGCA